RNAcentral lists this ribosomal RNA (180 nucleotides) under uncultured bacterium. Its description in RNAcentral is "partial 16S ribosomal RNA". It matches the Rfam family "Bacterial small subunit ribosomal RNA", at positions 335 to 507 of the family's 1533-position model. The record is from RNAcentral.
CACCUACGGGAGGCAGCAGUGAGGAAUCUCGCGCAAUGGGGGAAACCCUGACGCAGCAACGCCGCGUGAGUGAGGAAGGUCUUCGGAUCGUAAAGCUCUGUCAGGUGGGAAGAAGUGCAUGGGAGUGAAUAGCUGUCAUGCUUGACGGUACCGCCAGAGGAAGCACCGGCUAACUCCGUG